Molecule: long non-coding RNA, 758 nt
Filed under: Medicago truncatula (barrel medic)
Lineage: Eukaryota; Viridiplantae; Streptophyta; Magnoliopsida; Fabales; Fabaceae
Description: lncRNA gene48986
Source: RNAcentral
GGCCCUGAGUGCCUCUGGCUCCAAAGCUUCAAAGGUGUUUACGAGUAUUAUCGGAUUGGUUUCAACGUCGAGUUCAUGAAAAUCUUGUUGAAAAUAUGGAAAAACAAAAGACAACACACUAGGAUUUGAGGUAAAUAAAAAAGAAGGUAUGUCACGUGGCGAUAGUGUGAAGGGCAAUCCUGGUAAUUCAAUGGUAUAUGAGAUUGGUGAUGAAGUCGGAGCCACGGGUGUUGAACUGUGAGGUGUAUUGAUGGAAAUCAGCGUCGGUGUUUGUGAUGGCGAUGAAACCGUCGUUGUAGCCAUCGGAGAAGGGGGUUAUGGAGAGGUUGGAGAUGGUGGUUAUGGAUGGAUUGAGGAGGAUUAAACGACGGUAGAGGUGGAGGGUGAUGGGAAGAGUGACAUGUGCACCCAUUGAUAUGAGUCGCUUGGCAAAUUGAAGGGCUGGGUUUAUGUGGCCUUGAGCUGGGUACGUUACCAGAAGGAUGCGGUGGUGGUGGUGGGACAUGAUUGCAAUGGGGAGAUUGGUAUCACGACUUGUCACGCAUGUAUGCACGUUUAUUUAUUUAUAUUAAUGGACUCACUCAACCAUUGUUUAUUUUGAUUUGGAUCUCAUAGAUACACACAAAUUAACACACGAGUGAUGAUAGUGAUAUUGAGAAGGACUUCCUCUUGGAAUGGUGAAUUUGUAAUAAGUUAGUUUUAACCUUUUUUCCUUCUAUAAAUAAAUUGGAUAAAAUAUUUUCAUCAUUAUCCUCAUU